GACUGCUUGUGAGGGUUGGAGGUCACGAAGGAAAGACCCGGCUCGCGCCUGCACACAGUAGGUGCUCACAUCAAUGACGUCAUUCCCACUCCUGACGUCCUCAUGUCAAGGUCUGGGAAGAUACCUGGAGGUUUUGAUUGGGGUCUCGGUGGCCUUCGUCCUGCUGCUCUUCCUCCUCCUCUUCCUCCUCCUCCGACGUCAGCGUCACAGCAAACACAGGACAUCUGACCAGAGAAAGACUGAUUUCCAGCGUCCUGCAGGGGCUGCGGAGACAGAGCCCAAGGACAGGGGCCUGCUGAGGAGGUAAUUCUGCCCAAAGACCACAGACUCCCACCCACUGCAGCCCAUACACUGCCCCUCACACUCCCAUGUCCUCCCCCAGGUCCGGCCCAGCUGCUGACGUCCAGGAAGAAAACCUCUGUAAGAGGAAGAGAGGGGACAAAUGGGGGUGCUGGAGAGACAGGAGUCCC
This 470-nucleotide small RNA is filed under the name Pan troglodytes (chimpanzee). RNAcentral's name for it is "retained intron". The record is from RNAcentral. Lineage: Eukaryota; Metazoa; Chordata; Mammalia; Primates; Hominidae.